RNAcentral lists this small nuclear RNA (86 nucleotides) under Sorex araneus (European shrew). RNAcentral describes it as "U4 spliceosomal RNA (ENSSARG00000018192.1)". The stretch from base 1 to 77 matches the Rfam family "U4 spliceosomal RNA". From Rfam's summary of the family: U4 small nuclear RNA (U4 snRNA) is a component of the major U2-dependent spliceosome. The structure of U4 snRNA from yeast and human has been reported. Lineage: Eukaryota; Metazoa; Chordata; Mammalia; Eulipotyphla; Soricidae. The record is from RNAcentral.
ACCUUUGCGCAGUGGCAGUAUUGUAGCCAAUAAGGUUUAUCCCAGGUGCAAUUAUUGCUAAUUAAAAAAAAAAGACUGCUUAAAAC